GUUUCUUUCAUCAUACGUACUAGUAUGACGUCACAACACGGUUUAUUCUACGCUGACGUUUUAGUCGUUUUUUUUCAUGGGGCCCCAUUCGCGUUUUUGCGUCGACCGCGAGUCGAUUUCUAUUUGCGGCGGUAAAUACGCGUGAAGAAAUAAGAUCAAAGAAUAGGUGAGUAAGAAUGUAUUGUUAAUCACAUUAUGCAUUGUUACGUAUACCGGUUGUUUUAGAUUACGUGUGACGUCACGAAGCAGUGAUGACGUAACAGAAGAAUCUGCUUCAACAUGGGUAUGUGACGUCACAGAGGAUCAUGCAUGCAUCGCUCGCGUAUAACAAGAUGGGACAAUACGAGAAAAAAAGCGCAAGACGAAGAACAAAGACGAAGACGCCAAUAUAAGGAUCCCGGUUUGAGGUGUUUGUAGGUUUAAGUGUGUAUAGGUUUAUUUACAGGUGUACACGCGAAGAAAGAAGAUCAAAGGUGAGUAAGAAUGUUAAAUAAGUCACAGUAUGCAUUGUUACGUAUACCAUUCGUUUUAGAUGAAGUAGAAGAUGACGAAGCAGUGAUGACGUAACAGAAGAACCUGCUUCGUAAGUUGGUUUACGUCAUAAUGUGUAUUAUUUUAUGCGUUUUAUUAUACAGAACAUUGGUGUGUGACGUCACAGAGGAAUAUGCACCUGGGCGAUUGUUACAGACGACGAUACGGA
Molecule: long non-coding RNA, 700 nt
Organism: Ciona intestinalis (vase tunicate)
Lineage: Eukaryota; Metazoa; Chordata; Ascidiacea; Phlebobranchia; Cionidae
Source: RefSeq, a predicted model, not a curated record